AAUCAUUUGGCUAGGUAAGCAAAUGGUCUAAUGUGAAUGAAGAGGAGGGUUCAAAUGUAUCAUUUCAAGGUGGUUAUCACACAAGAACAAGGAGCUUGAUCAUUAUGCAAAAUUUAUCUAAGACUAGAAGCAAUUCAUGCAUACAUAGAUCCAUUCUCAUCAUUCUAACUUUUUCCUAAGUGAUUACAAGCUCUACCCUUUUCAUCCUCAUCCUAAAACCAAAAUAGCAUCCAUUCACGUCACUCACCAAUGAACAACUUUUUUUUUCUUUUGACUCAACCAACUAGGAAUUUUUAUUCACUUUUUACAACACUUAGCUCUAACUCUUUCUCAUUUCCCUUCCCACGUUCUCAUUGAUUCUCUUUUCUUUCUUUCUUUUCUUUUUUUUUUUUGAAGGGGGAAUGUUCUUUUGUACACAAUCUAGAGCGUCAUUCUUUUCUUUUGUCUCUAUGGUUUUUCUUUUCUCAUGACACUCUUUUGUUCAUCUUUCUCAUCUUUCUCACUCC
This 506-nucleotide long non-coding RNA is filed under the name Brassica napus (rape). Its description in RNAcentral is "long non-coding RNA (BNAP_LNC015747)". Lineage: Eukaryota; Viridiplantae; Streptophyta; Magnoliopsida; Brassicales; Brassicaceae. The record is from RNAcentral.